Molecule: ribosomal RNA, 478 nt
Filed under: uncultured bacterium
Lineage: Bacteria
Description: partial 16S ribosomal RNA
Rfam family: Bacterial small subunit ribosomal RNA
Source: RNAcentral
GACGAACGCUGGCGGCGUGCUUAACACAUGCAAGUCGAACGGUAAGGCCCUUCGGGGUACACGAGUGGCGAACGGGUGAGUAACACGUGGGUGAUCUGCCCUGCACUUCGGGAUAAGCCUGGGAAACUGGGUCUAAUACCGGAUAGGACUCCUGGCUUCAUGGUUGGGGGUGGAAAGCUUUUGCGGUGUGGGAUGGGCCCGCGGCCUAUCAGCUUGUUGGCGGGGUAAUGGCCUACCAAGGCGACGACGGGUAGCCGGCCUGAGAGGGUGACCGGUCACACUGGGACUGAGAUACGGCCCAGACUCCUACGGGAGGCAGCAGUGGGGAAUAUUGCACAAUGGGCGCAAGCCUGAUGCAGCGACGCCGCGUGAGGGAUGACGGCCUUCGGGUUGUAGACCUCUUUCAGCACCGACGAAGCGCAAGUGACGGUAGGUGCAGAAGAAGGACCGGCCAACUACGUGCCAGCCGCCGCCGUAA